CCCUUAGAUGUUCUGGGCUGCACGCGCGCUACACUGAUGCACUCAACGAGUUUAUAACCUUGCCCGGUAGGGUUGGGUAAUCUUUUGAAAGCGCAUCGUGAUGGGGAUAGAUUAUUGUAAUUAUUAAUCUUCAACGAGGAAUUCCUAGUAAGCGCUAGUCAUCAGCUAGUGCUGAUUACGUCCCUGCCCUUUGUACACACCGCCCGUCGCUGCCUCCGAUUGAAUGAUCCGGUGAAUAAUUCGGACUGACGCUUUGAGUGGUUUCCACUCUUUGUGUUGGGAAGUCUAGUAAACCUUAUCAUUUAGAGGAAGCAAAAGUCGUAACA
RNAcentral lists this ribosomal RNA (326 nucleotides) under uncultured eukaryote. RNAcentral's name for it is "partial 18S ribosomal RNA". It matches the Rfam family "Eukaryotic small subunit ribosomal RNA", at positions 1470 to 1796 of the family's 1831-position model. The record is from RNAcentral.